GACGAACGCUGGCGGCGUGCUUAACACAUGCAAGUCGAACGGAAAGGCCCCUUUGGGGGUACUCGAGUGGCGAACGGGUGAGUAACACGUGCGUAACCUGCCCUUGACUUCGGGAUAACUUCAGGAAACUGGGGCUAAUACCGGAUAGGAAUCCUUGCUGCAUGGUGGGGGUUGGAAAGCUUCGGCGGUUUUGGAUGGACUCGCGGCUUAUCAGCUUGUUGGUGGGGUAGUGGCUUACCAAGGCUUUGACGGGUAGCCGGCCUGAGAGGGCGACCGGCCACAUUGGGACUGAGAGACGGCCCAGACUCCGACGGGAGGCAGCAGUGGGGAAUAUUGCACAAUGGGCGGAAGCCUGAUGCAGCAACGCCGCGUGCGGGAUGACGGCCUUCGGGUUGUAAACCGCUUUCAGCAGGGGCGAAGCUUGUGGUGACGGUACCUGCAGAAGAAGCACCGGCUAACUACGUG
RNAcentral lists this ribosomal RNA (465 nucleotides) under uncultured bacterium. RNAcentral describes it as "partial 16S ribosomal RNA". It matches the Rfam family "Bacterial small subunit ribosomal RNA", at positions 28 to 507 of the family's 1533-position model. The record is from RNAcentral.